Long non-coding RNA from Pseudopipra pipra, 10718 nucleotides. RefSeq lists it as uncharacterized. The transcript is spliced from 12 exons. NCBI's taxonomy places the organism in Eukaryota, Metazoa, Chordata, Aves, Passeriformes, Pipridae. The record is from RefSeq and is a predicted model, not a curated record.
GUCAACAGCCUUCUUGCUCCUGGAGCAAUGCGUGAGCUACUGAUUCGUGCUGCUCUCCCACCAGCAAGCAGGGAGAUGUCUGCACCAUCUUGGGGACCUGGGUACCAGUAGUUACCCAGGCAAAAUUCUUGCUUGGAAAGAAAGUCUUUUUAUUUCUCUGCUGGCUGCAUUUUCUAAGAUUUAUAUGACCAGUUUCUAAACUCUUCUUAAUUGUAGAGAUAAUGUAUUUAAAACAUAUGUGCUUCCCGUAAUGCAUGCGCUCUGAAUGCUGUCUGCCUCUUGCCCUGUCUGCGUUCACAGAAGGUACACAUGCAUAUGGAAACAAUCAGGCUACCCAAAAGACAACACACUUGAUACUGCUAAUUACACAGAGUAAACACCGCUGGGACUAUAACUGGUCUCAAGAUCUGAGUCAAUGUUUUGCUGCUGAGCUAAAGAAGAAAGUCUAUUAUGUGCAUUCGUAUUACAGCCAGCUAAGUCCCUGCUGCACAUAUUGCUGAUUUCUGUACAUGCUACAUGGCAGAGAGCCAAGAAAUUGUAGCGCAAACAGGGUUUUAUAACCAGCAUUAUUUAAGGAUGGGCAAACUAUGAAGCUCUGAAAGUUAAUGAUUCUAGCGCACUUUCAAUUAAUUUUUAUUGUCAAGCUAUAUUUCAGGGUACUAAAGACCUCUUGCGAUGACAAGAAGGAGUGUGUGGGAACAGGCAGGAAUACAGUAUGCAUUGUUGUUCUCUCGGAUUUAUAGAUCAGCAAAUAACCUAUCCGGAUGACAAGUUAUUUUUUUUCCUCUCAUGUUAGAUGCAAUUCAUCUCUGUGUUGAGCUUCCCCUCAGAAAAUGCAUUUUAGCAAUAUAAAUACAGUAUCAGGCUUCAUAUUGCACAAGUGGUACAGCUGAGCCCCUGCACAGAAGUAAGUAUCACCUCUUUCACUAAGAAUAUCUGUACUACUUGUGUAGUUAAGACAAUCUUACAAUAGCCUGAUACAGAAAUCACUGAAUGGAUUUAAAAGUACUAACUACAUUUUAAUGACUUAUAGUAGGAACUUCUGACAGGACGCUAUAUUUUAAAGCACAUGAAGUCUGCAUGCCAUAAGUUUCGAGGUCUGGAUUUAGGCAGUCUGUGCAUGAGCAAUCACAGUGACAAAGCCUGGCCUUGCAUGAUGAACAUCAAGUUCACCACUUCAGCUCCCUCUCUGCCCCUCUGAAGGCAUAGACCAGAGCUGUAUGUCAGCUAACCAGCAGCACUGGCUGGCUGGUGAGUUCUGCCUGCUUUUCUGCUUGCAGAGGACACAAGUUUGGGCUUCUACCCAGACAGUGACUGAUUUAGAGGGUCAUGGUGGUUUCGAAUUCUUUCAGAUUUGACUGAGAGUGCACAGCAGAAUUGAAACAGAUUACAGGAAAACUGAGGGACAGAGCAAUCGCAUAAACUGAAUUUCCUUAGGAAACAUAAGGAAAAAAAAAAAUCAAGAACACCACAAACCCAAUUCUAACCAAAACACACACUUUGGAAAGUAUUGGGAGAGCUGGGCCACAGUCAGACAUCCUGCUCUAGUUUUCAACUGAGCGAGGUGGCUGCUCUGGUCGGCUCCUUCUCUGCUGCCCCAGGUUACUGCUUCAUCGGCUGUGCUGAUACAGCUGUUUGUCUAGCUGCCCUUUAAACUAGUUCUGUGAAAUGAUCCACUCAAAAGAAAAUACAUGCUUUUCAGGGAGAGUGCAUGAUGGGGUUUUUUUAGCCCAAAGAUCCUUAAAAAAAAAUCUUUAGAUCUUAGCUACACAAACACUUAGCUUGGUGUCAUGGGACAGCAGGUGUAAGUCUCUGUGUGUGCGUGUGAGGGAAGAGGGGAAGCUACACCAAAGGGCUCUGCUUCAGUCCAAACAGUUCAUGUAGGCUGUGGAAGAAAUUUCUGUCUCCAGCUCUUCCCUGGUAUCGGAGGUUCCUGCUGCUUCAGAUCCAGGGAAUAAGCUGUGGGUUGACCCCUUCCUGUCUUGCAUUGGGUGGUAGCUUAUAAUACUGAAGUCACCUCUAACCUACCUCAUUCAGACUGGAAAUAUGUGAGAAGGAUUCAAACACAGUUGAGCAAAACAGACCUGAAGCCAUAGGCUGAGACAAUAGACUUUUCCACCAGCAUCUCAGCUUGGGAGGAUGUGCAUCUGUAGCCCAGUCUCCUUUGUAGACAUUGUUAGAUUAUCUCUAGAGGAUUUAUUGCAGAGAGAAAUGCUGCUUAUUUCUAGCAUGAAACCACACAGCUCCUCCUUUGGGCUGGCACUGUGCUCCAGCUAAUGGGGGCAACUAUUCAGAUCAUCCGUGUCUCUUCUUAAAAUCAGUAGACAUGAUCUUGAGUAUGCUAAGUGGAAGGAAGCUCACUCCUCUUUGAAAUGCAGGCAAGUACUUCAUCGCUGAUUGCAAACCAAAACAUCUUUAUGGGGAAGCUUUCUGCUGAAAUCAAAGUGAAACUUUAACCUUGGCUUUCUUAUUGCUACCCUGGAGUCACCACAUCCUUCUCUUGUCACCAUCACCUUUCAGUUUAGAAAGUGGCAACAAGCUACAGUAUUCAGUGCUAAGUGAGAAGUGAGUCUCUCUGUGUUUGGGGGGGAAAGGAUGAAUUUAUGGUGGUGUUAAAAUUUGCUCUUCGAAAGCAGUGAACACUGAAGGGUCCACUUGAGGAGAACGUUUCUGGCAUGCUGCAAUUUUGCGUUGCUUCCCUGCAUUUCUUGUGGAGACAAGCCCCAAGGAAUCUGAAAACUUGGCUUAUUUUCCUGAUCCUGCAACAGAUUCCUUGUCUUGCCCAGCCAAGGUCAAGUCCUUUAAGACCACAUUUUCAAGCAUGGUCUUUAAUUUUAGCCCUGUAGCUUGAGAUACCCAGAAUCUGUCCUGCACAUGUAUUAAUCACUUACAGCUCUAGCCAAAAUUAACAGAAGCUGCCUGUACACAGAAUUGCACUGAAAAUUAGAUGCUACUUAAAAAAACAGGGCCAAAUCUGUCUUACUCAGCUUGCUCAUAUGUUCACUGGAGGUAGUAACACCUGUCCAGCUGGGGAGACAUCAGGCUAAAUUAAUUAGUAUUUGUAAAGCAUGUGAAGUAAUUAUUAUUUUUUUUUAAACAUUAUUUGCACAUGUAACGGAGAAGAGCUCUUUGAGCAUUGUUUCUCUUAUUUGGAUGUUUUUAUUGGAUUCAAAUAAGGAUAAACAUUACCUCCUUCAUCAGCAAUCGUGCUGCCCAUAAAGAAUUUGGUUUUGCUUUGAAGGAUUAGGGCAUGAGAUUUUAGUUCCUCUCACUUGUUUAUGGCAUUAAUUUGCUGCACAUAAAUCACUGCAGGUCAGAACAUUGCUGUUCCCUUAGCAGAAGGUAAGAGCACAGAAUCACUCUUUAAUGUUGUGCAAUUGGACAGGAUUUAGCUUGUCCUGAUUUUGUGUUUGGAGAAGUCAGGAUGCCCUUUGUGCUUGAUGUUUUACCUCGUUUUCUCUUGAAGGUCCAGUGGAGAAAUCUGACUAGGCGCAUUUGCAUCACUCACUCACUGCCUGAUCUUUGUCUGUGUUUUGCACAAAUUAAAGUACAGCUUCCCCUCUUUUGCUUUCUGUGGGAUUUCCCAGUGUUUCACGAGGCUGCAGUUUGAUGAACUCUUCAAGCUGGCACUGAUGCUGAAAGAACCACUUGUAUUGUAUUUCCUUUACACCUGGUCCAGAGUACAUGUGACUGUAGGGUGGAACAGAUCGGGGAAGCAAUCUGGCUCAGAAAAUAACCAUUUCUGGUUUUUAAUCAGAUAAGUUUUCUGUGUUUCGGUUUAAUGGUAGAGCUGAGCAGCAGGGCAAGAGUAGGAGUUGCAGAGAGAGGGAGUGAAGGUCCAGUCCUUCAGGUGGCCUUGCAUGGUGGUGUUUGCAGAAACUAUGCAGUCUCACUAUUUGCCACUCUCUGUCUCUUUAUCUCUCUUAGUGCCACUAUCUGUUGGUGGUGGGAAGGGUUGUGGCAAUAAGUUAAUGUUACUCAGUAGCCAGCAAUCAAUGUGGAUUAAGACCCAUAUUGUGCCUUUCUGAUACCAAGACUAUCCCCCUCCCCCUUCCAUUCUUUGGUUUACUCAGUAGAGCUACCCUGAUUCACAUAAGCUAACAAUCUGUUUGAGAAGAAACAAUUAGGCUCAUAGAAGUUGUUGACAUCUUAUUUUCAUUUUUUUUCAAUGGCAUAAUGGGUACUCCAGUCCAGCUUGUCCUUUUGUGUUCUCCAUCCCAGGCAUCCCUCCCAGAUGCAAAGACCCUGUGAGGUUGAGGACAGAACAGUGGCUCUCCCAAACAUUUUGGACCAAGAAACUGCUAGUAACACUUAGCAUUUCUCUCAGACCAUAGUGUGGCUGCUGAGCAGGCUAUUAAUUUAAAACACUGCUCAAACCAGGCAGGCUCCCCGGGCCAGCUGCAGGCUGCUUCCCAUGUCCUCUGAGCCCAUAGUGCUAGCAAUUGCUGGAAAGCUGGGGAGGAUGGAGUGAGGUUGCAGAAGGCUGUAAGAACAGCUUGGGUGUCUUUUCCGGGAAGUUGAGUGCACACUCCCUGCUUCUUCUUUCUCUGUGGUCUUUUGGAGUUCAGCUUAAAUCAGAUCCGGAAAACAGCAUCCCGCUGCAGAAGAGCCAAUGGUCCUAGAAACAGACUCCUACUAUAAAAAAGCCUACGGGAGCCAGAUGCCCCUGACAGAGAUUGAUUGACUGGCUGGUCGUAUCACCUUUCACUUCACUUUGGCAAGGGGGGAAGCACGGAAUGAUGGAAAGUUUUCAGGUGGUACUUUCAGAAAGUAUUUGAAGGGUUUUUUUGUUUAAGUGCUGCAGGCAGGAAAGAGUCAUUCUACACCAUGCAGUGCCAGCUCAGAGACAGAAUAAAAGGAGAUCAGUAGGUACCAAGGAGCAGUUGCUCCUGAGAAGUCCUUCCUGUGAACACAGCAUGCUGCAGAUGUGUGCUUUGUGAGAGGUUGGAUUAGAUCAUCGCCAUGGAAAGGAAAUACUGUGUCUCCUGGAGGUACGGGAGGCUCAAUGACAAGCCUCGUGUGGCAGGGUGGAUCCUUGGCCGGAGAACCGCUUUGGAGAAGAGAGAGAGGGAGAUGCUUGACUGUGCCACCACCAGCCUUUGCAGAACCGGUGUGCCAGCCGCCUCCCUGCGGGGUCCUUUUGCAGCGGAAGGUCGGGCCUCUCCCGACCUGCACGGUUCUGAGUCCCUGGCUGUUACUGGUGUGUUGGAAAGCAAUGACUCCUCAGAUGUUCCUGUAUACCUUUAUCUAUCUGCCUCCAAUUACUUUAUGAGCUCAUGAAAAUGAACACAAGGCAUCUUUGACAUUCCUCUCUCUCAUUUCCUCUCCUAUUUUUUACAUAGGGCACUUUUGCCAAUAACUCUUUCCUAGUAAAACAAUGCCUCUGAAUUCAUGCUGUGUGUGUAUGUGAUUCCAUGUACCCUCCCUCCCCACCUCCCCAAAUGUUUGAGCCUGUUGGCAAAAGAAUACAGAUCUGAAAGUGAAGUUCCUGUGAGGUUGAAAGAGAGAGGCAGAUGGGUACAUGAGAGAGCCUGUUUGUGCUGGAAGCGUCAACGUGCUACCAGCUCAGCUCACCUUUUAUCAGGCACCAGAGAGCUCCCACUGGAGCGUGCCCCUGGAAAUCAGACUUCAUCCUGUCUGUCAGUCCUGGACUAUUUGUUCAAGCUGAUGAUUUUGGAAUAAAGAUGGGAAGGCGGGGUUUAAAAGCUGGAGCUUCUCUUUUCUGCACUUUCAAGAUGUAUGGUUGUCAUUUGCAGGUGAUCAGGAGGCCAUAGUUAUGUACUAGGCAGUAGGGAAUCUCUAUCCCUGGUGCACACACCCUGCAAAGUAGCUAUUUAUUUUGUUACAGAGCAACAUAACUGUCAGGUUUCAACAGUGUCAUAUCUCAGAAAUGUGGAUGCCCUUAAAUCAAUUUUUGCUGAGGUCAUAAAGGCUUUAAAAAUAAAGGCAAAGCCUUGAAUUUAAGCUGGGACUGAGUAGUUAACAGAGCAAAGAACAGAGCUUAAGUUUGUUUGGUGGUCUUGUGCUGCUGAAUAAAUGGCCUGAUGCAUUCUUGUAUGGGUUGUCACUCCUAAACCCACUAGGUUGUAGAAAUCAAGGAUUAUAGGGCCAAGUCCAAUCUUUCAGGUUAUCUGACUGGAAAUAGUGCUAAAGGAUUGAGGCUUUUACAGCAACCAUUAUUGGGGUUUUUGGGAUGAUAGAGUUCAGAUGAACAUUAAAUCUUUAGUUAGACUUUAAUACCAGCAGUGGACAUUAUCAAAGUGUAAAAUACUUCCCUAUAUCUUCAUCAGCCCAGGCUCUUACAACAAUUUAGCUUCUGCCAACUUCAUUCAUUUGCUGAUCGUAGCCAAGCCCUUGAAGAGCUGGGUAAUGGUGUCAUUUGCAUGGGAGGUGAAGAUGAUGGAGAGAUGGGUGUCAUGUGUGUACUGCUGACAAGCCAGUCCAUGGUGCCACUGAAUCUUCUCUAGAGGCUUUUUAUAGAUAGUGAACAGGCUGGGUGAGAGGAAAGAAUCUGGUGUUAUUCAGCAGGUGGAAAAGGUUUUGAAGGUUAAGGAAAGAGCAAGUGUUUAUCAUAAAUCUCUUGAGUGUACAAGAGAUUUAUGUAAGGGAUGUCUGAAGAGGUACCAGCUCAGUUCCAUAAGGCUGUGGACAGACAUUUAUUUUCAAACAGCUGAGCUGGUUGGAAAUUCUACAGCCAUUCCAGAUGCUUGCUACCAAUCCUCUGUUGAUGGCGCUUGUACCCCUUGCUCUGCUAUUAGAAAAGGUGGUCCAAGGUCUUCCUAAUCUGUCAGGUGAAGCCUCUCAGAUAAAGUCCUGAAAAAGGUGGUGUUUGUUAACCCACUGACAUUCCUUACCUUUAAGAGAGAGCUGUUUACUAGCACUGGCUUGCCCUGAGUGAGAGGAGAGGAGAGGUGAGAGAGGAGAGAAGGCGGCUGAAUCCUUUCCCACAGAAUGUGCCCACAGGCCCAAACAGUUCCUGCAUUGCCUCCUACAGGUCUGAAGACGGGUCUGGGACCGGACGCAUCUACUGGAGUAGACUAUAUUACACCUGUUUCAUGUGCCAAGCAUGUGAAUAAAAUAUGUGUGAAGAACUGUUUGUUACACGAGCAACUAAAAUGGAAUAUUUGGAACUGUGUCAGCCUCCUUUGUAAACAAGAGCUCUAGGAUGGGUACACAGUGUGGUAGAAGCUCAGGUAACUUAGGGAUCACUAUUGUCCAAAUUUCCUAACAGUCUUUACAAGAAAUUGGUGUUAAUUAUUAUGUUACUACCACUGUGGUUAAAGCUGAACUGGCAAGUUAUAAUAAAAUCUUUAAGAAUAUUCAGUUGGGGCAAUGAAGAAGACUCCUGUGCUCAAAGGAUCAUUUGGAAAUGGGAGGAAGGAUGAAGAAAAGGUGCAGGUGAUUUUUAAGAGAUCCUGUAGCUCCUACAGGGUUUUGACAUCCCAAAAUACAGAACUGUCAAAAAAUCCUUGAUGUAUGCACAGGUAAAACAAAACAAGCUAUAAUAGUGUGUGUGGCCUCAUGGUAAAUGUGUGUGUCUGCUGACUGUGCUUUAACAUGAAGGGCUCUUAGUACCCACCACUAUGAUUUUCAGGUAGUGAAACAUGCUGUUAUUUAUCAAAUGGUAACCCUCUGAGGACUGGUGAGAUGCAGAAUCUUCCUAGCAACCAAGAAACAACCUGCAGCCUUUCUGAAACAUGGAACUGGGGACAGUUUUUAAACUCUCCCUUCAUCAAGAAACAAACUCUCCCUUUCAUAUAACACUGCUCUCUUACAGUAUGAGACAAAUCUGUAAAAAUGGACCACCCCUAAUGUCUGAGCCUGGCUCUAAACAGGAUCCCUAACUUACUGGUCAUCCUGUUUCUGAACUGGGCCAAAAAGGAGCAUCCUACCUUAAUAACAGUCUGAAACUCUAGUGGAAUUUGGACUCUGAUCCAAACUCAAGGCACAGUCUCUUCUCUAAAUAAAAAUAACUAGAUCACAAGCUAUUUUGGGGGGGUGACUUUUAGACAAGAAACGUAGGGCUUACAUAGGUUUUUACUCCUGUCAGAUACAUCUGGAUGCUGUCCUCCUUCCAGCCGAUAUUCUGAAAGUGCUUUCAUCAGCUCAGAGCCAAAUAACCCUAACUGGAAGUUGGAAACUGUAGAACAACUGACAUUAUUCAUGCAGAACAGGAUUCCAGCAGAGAUUUUUUUCCUGGUGGAUUGAGAAGAGCAGAACCAGCAGAACUGCCCGUGCAGAGAGUGUUAUUUCAGAAGAAGAGCACUCCCUCUCUCACAGAGUGAUCCAAUAUGCCUUCCGUCCGGGGGCAGGAGUGGAAAAGUGGGAGGAGAGGGGGAAUAAGGAUGCUUCCUUCCCAGCACUCGGGGCUGCUGGCCAAGAAUGCAAGUCUAAAUUCAAGCCCAAUUCUGUCAAAAUACCUACCUGUACCUCUGGCUAUGAAGAAGGGUGUCUGUGAGUAGCCUGAGGCUUUUGGCUUGAUGCAAACCGUAUUGAGUACCACAAGAAUGAGCUGACCAAGACUGAUCUGGACUUUCAAAAGUUUGGAGAUCUGCAGUUAAAAGAACAAGAUCUUACAGUUUUACAAGCUUCUACACUAUUUGAAUCCAUAAAUACAAGGACCACUAAUCAUCUCAUCGUUGGACUGCUUUCACACACUGGCUAGAAGGUGCUGUGUGAAGGAUACAACAUAUUGUUAACACAGUUGCUUUUCCAAGGGAGAUCUCUGUAAGAGGACUGAGAGAACAGUGACUGGUCACCCUCCUGCAAUGUCACAAUCCCUCCUGGACCUUUUGAGUGACUAGGCUGGAAACAUCCUAAGGGGAUUUUUCUGCUUCUUCUUUUUCCCCUCCUUUCACUACAUCAGGCUCGUCUUCCUGCUGUCUUAAGGAGACCACCUACAAUUUAAGGAAAUAAAGACCUCUGUGAAAAAACAGAGGCAAACCUGAUAUUUAAGGGCACUAACUGUGGGAAGCCUAGGUACCUCAGUGUUCUCCUCCUAGCACUGUGAAUAAAUGCUAGGAGGCAGCUGGUGCCGGCCGGCUGGAUGCCAAGCAGGUCAGGCCUCUGCAGCUGAAACUGCCCGAGAUUUUUAAGUGCAGAGAUGAAUCAGCUGUGUCCUUUAGAAAACGCAUCCUCUCUCGGACAUGCUGCUGGAAUGUUGUGUCUCUCCACUGCCUCCCUGCGAGUGUGCUCAGAGCUGCUGGCUGAUGACAAACUGCCCCCUAAUGCAGAGGAUACAAGAGGGGAGCAUCAUUUUAUCAUAACACGGAUGCGUCCUUUGCAAUUGUGACUUUCCUUGGCUGGCAUGUGGGAUGCUGUGACCAGCCUGCUGUGUUUUCUGUCUUUCUCUGGGACAGCUGAAUGGAUACAGAGAUGUGAGCUUUCAUUACCUGCAAGUUUCCAUCUGGUCUGUUGGCAGCGCUCUGCAUGAAAGGGACCACGAGAAGCUGGAGGUGCUACAGAUUUAAUCAGGAUACCACUGGCAGCACAGAUGCAGACGAAGUCUCAGCAUGGUAAAUUCAAAAAACUCCAAGUUUAAAUGCAUGAGCAUUUGCUGGUUUACCUCCAGACCAGAAAGAACAGUACCUGUUAUUUCUUCCUGACACAGGAGACAUUGCAAAGAUCUGCAAACAGCCUUUUGCACAUGCCAGAGCGUGCAUCAAGUACACUCUGGACAUUGGUUCUGUGGCUUUCAGUUUGGGGCUGUCAGCACAGUGAUGUUUCCAAAAGUGGGACACGACGUCGCACUCAUCUACAGCUGCCCUGCUCUCAAACGCACACAGAUAUCUGCACACAGACAUCUGCAGGAGAAGGGAGGUACCCCUCUGGUAGAGGCAUCAGCCGGAUGGCAGCAUGCCUUUGACCUAGAGGAAAGGAAUGCAGCAUCUCCUGGUGACUGAGAAAGCUUGGGUGGUUUUGCACAUAGGAAGCUCUCUUAAAUGUGUUUCCUCCAACCGCCUGGCCUUUUGUUUUUCAGCCAUGCUUGAUGCUGGUGUUGGAAAGCUGAACUCCCCAAAAGUGAACUUCCUCUCCUACUAUAAACUGACCCUUGGGGUUGCUAUAGCGACUGCAGAGCAGCCAGCGGGCUGUAUAAACACUCCCUCCCGCUUCCCAUCACACUAGGCCUGAGAGGCUGAGCCACGGGAUGUGCGCAGUAACCUGGAUUGUGCGGGUGGUUGUGAAAUGCAAAACCGACAAUUUCUCUGCUUCCUCCCUGCUUCCCCCACAGGGAGGCAAACCCAGCAGGCUGGUAGCAGGCACAAACACGCCCGUCCUGACGAAUUUGGGCAUAUGGCAUGGUACCGCAGAAACCAAACCCAGACAUUCACCUGGGGAGCUUGAGCAAGAUGUGGAAAUAUAUGGUGCAACUGGAUUCUCUGCAACAUCUGAUUCCUGUGGCCUCACUAACUGUUGAGCUUCCAGCUGUGAGGGGGGAGCGGUUUGGUACAUACAAUGUCACAGCUCCUUCUAUGUAAUUAAUUGCAACAAUCAACCGAGUGUGAAAUCCAUCAGUCUCUGGGUCCUCUGUUGCUCGCUUUGAUGUCAGCUCUUCUUCCUUCAUUUUCUUUCUUUUUUUUUUUUUUAAUGCAUUUCAUUAAAGUCUGUCCCUGACUCUCUGAGCCACUUUCCAGACAUUGAUGUUUGUGUGUGACUGUAUCCAUCCCCAUAAAAGCAGGUCAGGUGUUUCAACAGCAGCAGCCUGUGAGACAAAUUGA